RNAcentral lists this ribosomal RNA (468 nucleotides) under uncultured bacterium. RNAcentral's name for it is "partial 16S ribosomal RNA". It matches the Rfam family "Bacterial small subunit ribosomal RNA", at positions 28 to 507 of the family's 1533-position model. The record is from RNAcentral.
GACGAACGCUGGCGGCGUGCUUAACACAUGCAAGUCGAACGGAAAGGCCCUGCUUUUGUGGGGUGCUCGAGUGGCGAACGGGUGAGUAACACGUGAGUAACCUGCCCUUGACUUUUGGAUAACUUCAGGAAACUGGGGCUAAUACCGGAUAGGAGCUCCUGCUGCAUGGUGGGGGUUGGAAAGUUUCGGCGGUUGGGGAUGGACUCGCGGCUUAUCAGCUUGUUGGUGGGGUAGUGGCUUACCAAGGCUUUGACGGUUAGCCGGCCUGAGAGGGUGACCGGCCACAUUGGGACUGGGAUACGGCCCAGACUCCUACGGGAGGCAGCAGUGGGGAAUAUGGCACAAUGGGCGGAAGCCUGAUGCAGCAACGCCGCGUGCGGGAUGACGGCCUUCGGGUUGAAAACCGCUUUCGCCUGUGACGAAGCGGGGGUGACGGUAAUGGGUAAAGAAGCACCGGCUAACUACGUG